GUGCGUGGUACCUGAGAGCUGCAGCUUCACAGUUAGUUGUUGCAGAUUCUCCAACAACAUGCAAGAAAAUGGGAGAGAAUUUGACAGCUUUGUUCCUAUAUUUCCUCUAAUUGUCACUCGACUCUCCUACAUCU
Molecule: small nucleolar RNA, 134 nt
Organism: Rhincodon typus (whale shark)
Lineage: Eukaryota; Metazoa; Chordata; Chondrichthyes; Orectolobiformes; Rhincodontidae
Product: small nucleolar RNA SNORA44
Exons: 1
Source: RefSeq, a predicted model, not a curated record